Molecule: long non-coding RNA, 1547 nt
Filed under: Homo sapiens (human)
Lineage: Eukaryota; Metazoa; Chordata; Mammalia; Primates; Hominidae
Source: RNAcentral
GGUUUCUAGAGCAUUCCAUCUCCCUGCUGUGGUCCCACUCUCUUACAAUUAGGCUUGAUUUCCAAACUGUCAUGGGUUUGAUAUUCACCAAGAGAAAGCAAAUACAUAUUUGGCACAUUAAUAAUAUUUAACAACAAUGAAUUAUGGUUACAUAUAGAAAUAAUUUAUGUUCUGAACAAAUGUUUAUGCUUCUGUAAAAAAUAAAAUGGAAAAUAUUCUGUAUCAGACACUACAUCUUCACCAUAGACUUGUCACGAUCUAGGUCAGUGUUUUCAUUUGAGAAUAGAAACCUACUGGUAAAUCAUAAAAUCAGUUUAAUGGUUAUAAUUUACAUUAAAAAAUAGAAAAGGUGCUCCCUUUGGCAGCACAUAUACUAAAAUUGGAAUGACACAGCAAAGAUUAGCAUGGCCCCUGUAAGAAAAAAAUAGAAAAGAGUAGAAUUUGAAAAUAUCAUUGUGCAGUGCAUGUAGGUAAGUACUGUUUCAUGAAAUAUUAGUCUCAUUUCUAUAAUAUGUGUGUGUCCUAGGUUGAGAUUAAAAUGUAUAUUUUACUGUAGGUGGAGAAGGGAAAAAAAAAGUUUGAAAGUUGCUGACUUUGCCCCCUGUGAUCAAGUGAUGCUCAAAAUAUUUCACAACUGGUAAUGCUUAGUCAUAGCCCAGUCAGAAUGAAAGCUGGCUGCGAUAUUGGAAUCCUGCUAUGCCAGGGGUUACUCCUUUUAUGCUAGACUGAGGGUCCUAAGGGAAGGGUCAGGAUGGCCGAGGCACUAGGGGGAGUUGGUGCAGUGACUUUAUGGGUGUAUCAGUUUUCUAUUGCUGCAGUAACAAAUUACAACAAACUUAGUGGUUUAAAAUAACAUUAAUUUAUUAUCUUACGGUUCUUUAAGUCAGAAGUCAGGCACAGGUCUCACUGAUCUAAAAUGAAGGUGUUGACAUGGCUGUAUUACUUUUCAGGUGCGCUGAAGAAGAAUAGGUUUCCUUGCCUUGUUCAGCUUCUAGAAUUUGCCCACAUUCUUUGAUUCAUGGUCCAUUUCCUCUGUCUUCAAAGCCAGCAACAUUGCAUCUCCCUCUGAUCCUUUUCCCAUAGUCACAUCACUCCCUCUGACUGCAGCUGGGAAAGGUCCUCCACUUUGAAGGAUCCUUGUAAUUAGAUUGGGCCCACCUGGAUAAUCCAGAGUACUCUCUCCAUUUCAAUAUCCUUAACCUUAACCCCAUUUGCAAAGUCCCUUUUGCCAUGUAAAGGAACAUUUUCACAGAUUCCAGAGGAUUAGGGAAUGGGCAUUUUUGGAGGCCACGAUUCUGCAUAUCACAAUGGGUAUGGAAAAGUUUCAUUAUCUGAACAAUCAGCACAACCACACCUGUGCAUCCUGCCACAGUGGAACUGAAAACAGGUCACCUGUGAAAUCACCCAUUUGGAGUCUCCAUUGCAGCAUUCCAUGAAUGUGUCUUGAAUGUUUGCCCUAUCCCUUCUAAGAGGAGAGAGGGGAAAGUUUACGCUUCACAAAUAUAACUCAAUCCAUUGCUUUCACAUCUCCAGUAUUUUCCUAGAAG